AAGGCUCCAUCGGACUCUAUAUUAAGAGGCUAAACUCUCUCAUAUCUCCACUCGCAAACCGCGCACUCUCUCUCUCUCUCGCUCUGGCCUGUUCCUUGAUCUUCCACUUUGUUGUUUUGGGGAUCCCUUCAAGCUUUUCCACCGUGCUAUUUUCCACUUGGGUGUGCCUGAUCUCUUCCUUUUCCUUAGUGGUUGACAUGGGAUUUUUAUACUAAGAAAACACACAGUAGCUCUCCCUCCCUCCCUCCCUCCCUCUCUCUCUCUCUCUCUCUAUCUCGACAAGGGUUUCGGACCUUUUUCUUAAUGCCCUUUGAUUUCUUCGCUUUACCUUAUCCUUUAUCUCCAUGGGAUGCUAAAAGUUGGGUAAGUAUAGAUUCUAGGGUUAGGGUUUUUAUCUCACCUGCAUGUGGAUUGGUGAUGACAAAUUGCCCCUAUACGAAGAAGCCCAAGUCGUUGUUUGCCAUUGCAGCAUCAUGAAGAUUCACAAAAAAAACUUUCUUUUUUGAAGAGAGCGUCUUUUUUAAUAAUUACUGGUGGUUGAGUUUAUGUGGUCCCUAAUUCCACCUUAAAAGCGUCUCUCUUCAAUAUGAUUUUAUUAUGGGAAUCUUGAUGAUGCUGCAGUGGCAAUAAAUGGCUAUUCACUCUCGAAAGCCAGAAGUCUGAGAUCAAAUUUAUGAGGAUGAAGCUUUAUUUAGGUAUUAGCAUCACUAAAUGGUAUCUUUCUCAAGAGCGGAGCCCAAGCCGCCGAGUUAUUUUUCUUAUGUCACCGGACUAACCUCACUGCUCGUGCUGAUUGGUCACAUCUUAACACAGAACGACAACAUUUGGCCAAGAAGAGGUACAACGACAGAUUUCAGGGAAGUUUUGAUUUUGAACACCUGAAAAAUGCCUAUCCUCCUUUACAUACUUAUAUAGUGGAAGGAUGGUUCCUCUAAAUUUAUUGAGAGGAUCAUUACCCUAAGCUAGGAAUCCAUCUAGUGCUCUGUCUUCCUCGGUAUGAUGGGAUCUGCAAGAUGCACAAGUCAAAUAUAGGAAAGGACUACAUGAUUCCAUCAGAGCAGUUCUUCUUUCCCAAAUUUCCCCGUCUUUAGAAAUCUGAGUAUCUGGGUUUGUAGUGGUUCUAUGGAGGAUUGGAUAUCUGGCCUUGAUUUCUACAAAGUGGAUCUUUUUCAUUCACAUCUCCAUAAUCAAUCCUUGAAGACCCCUUUCGUGACUUUUUUUUGCUGAUUUCCUUUUGAUCUGACCCCCUUAUAUACAGUGAGGCUAGGUUGUCAAUACUUACUAAUCUGUGACUAUGAGGGGGAACAAAAGAGCAAUCUGUCUUGUAUAAAGAAAACUUACGUUAGAAUCUAUACAGAAAGACUUUUGUAGCAA
Molecule: long non-coding RNA, 1374 nt
Organism: Syzygium oleosum
Lineage: Eukaryota; Viridiplantae; Streptophyta; Magnoliopsida; Myrtales; Myrtaceae
Exons: 2
Source: RefSeq, a predicted model, not a curated record